This 484-nucleotide ribosomal RNA is filed under the name uncultured bacterium. Its description in RNAcentral is "partial 16S ribosomal RNA". It matches the Rfam family "Bacterial small subunit ribosomal RNA", at positions 30 to 507 of the family's 1533-position model. The record is from RNAcentral.
AUUGAACGCUGGCGGCAGGCCUAACACAUGCAAGUCGAGCGGAUGAAGGGAGCUUGCUCCUGGAUUCAGCGGCGGACGGGUGAGUAAUGCCUAGGAAUCUGCCUGGUAGUGGGGGAUAACGUCCGUAAACGGGCGCUAAUACCGCAUACGUCCUGAGGGAGAAAGGGGGGGAUCUUCGGACCUCACGCUAUCAGAUGAGCCUAGGUCGGAUUAGCUAGUUGGUGGGGUAAAGGCCUACCAAGGCGACGAUCCGUACCUGGUCUGACAGGCUGAUCAGUCACACUGGAACUGAGACACGGUCCAGACUCCUAAGGGAGGCAGCAUUGGGGAAUAUUGGACCAUGGGCGGAAGCCUGAUCCAGCCAUGCCGCGCGUGGGAAGAAGGUCUUCGGAUUGUAAAGCACUUUAAGUUGGGAGGAAGGGCAGUAAGUUAAUACCUUGCUGCUUUGACGUUACCAACAGAAUAAGCACCGGCUAACUUCGUG